This 253-nucleotide ribosomal RNA is filed under the name uncultured bacterium. Its description in RNAcentral is "partial 16S ribosomal RNA". It matches the Rfam family "Bacterial small subunit ribosomal RNA", at positions 524 to 776 of the family's 1533-position model. The record is from RNAcentral.
UACGUAGGGGGCAAGCGUUGUCCGGAAUCAUUGGGCGUAAAGAGCGUGUAGGCGGCCCGGUAAGUCCGCUGUGAAAGUCCAGGGCUCAACCCUGGAAUGCCGGUGGAAACUGUCGGGCUUGAGUACGGAAGAGGCGAGUGGAAUUCCUGGUGUAGCGGUGAAAUGCGCAGAUAUCAGGAGGAACACCAAUUGCGAAGGCAGCUCGCUGGGACGUUACUGACGCUGAGACGCGAAAGCGUGGGGAGCAGACAGG